GCCCAGGUGGUGAAACUGGUAGACACGCUAGCUUCAGGAGCUAGUGCUCGCAAGAGCUUGGGAGUUCGACUCUCCCCUUGGGCACCA
RNAcentral lists this transfer RNA (87 nucleotides) under Candidatus Gottesmanbacteria bacterium. Its description in RNAcentral is "tRNA-Leu". It matches the Rfam family "tRNA". From Rfam's summary of the family: Transfer RNA (tRNA) molecules are approximately 80 nucleotides in length. Their secondary structure includes four short double-helical elements and three loops (D, anti-codon, and T loops). Lineage: Bacteria; Candidatus Gottesmaniibacteriota. The record is from RNAcentral.